AACCCCACUCGUGCAUCUGAGAUGCUGAUCCACUUUAUCCCACGGGUUUUAAUUUGCUGCCCGAGGCCGCUCGGCUAAGCGGCAUUUAGUGGCUCAGGGAAGAAGGGGAGAGCAGAGCAGCCUGCGGACUCCAGAGAGCCGUGACCUUUCCCAGCACCACGGAGAAAAGCUGCCGAUCUCCCGAGGAGCGAACAAAUCCGGGCACCGCAGGCAGAAACUGGCACUGCCACCAUCUGUAGAAGUGUCACCUCAUUAACCCCAGGCACAGCUGCCAUCCCGCUGCCCUGGGGUGGGGGGACAGGCGGGCACACAGAGCUGUUCCCCAGGGUUUUGGGCCAUGGCACAGCACAAGCCCUCAGUGACCAGGCCUCAAGCAAAUGGCAGCUGAGGCCUUCUCCUGCUGUGGAGGGGCCGUGUCCUGCCUGGGAGCAGCCCUUAGCUGGGACACUGCCACUGUCCCUUUGUCCCUGUGUCCCUGUGUGUGUCCCUGUGUGUGUGUCCCUGUCAGGGGGAGCUUGGUGUGGUGCAGCUGUCCUCCCUGACACAGGGACACAGAGGCCUGGAACAGAUCCCACCGGGACACUUUUGGAGGAGGGCCAGGGGAGCUCCCAGCCAGCUCAGGCCUCAGAGGGAUGGGAUAAAGGUCUUUUCCUGAGGGGCUGGAGGAACAGUCCCACAUGCACCCCCAAAAGAGUCAGCAUUCAUGAGUGUCGGCUGUGGCCAACACCCCGUGGUGUCGGCCACAGGGUGCUCUGGGCUGCUUAAUGGGAAAACUGCAGGAUCCUGCCCAUCCUGUCCAUCCCUGGAGGCAGAGCUGGCACCACCGAGCCAGACAAUGGCCUCUGCUCAGUCCAGGACACUUGGGAAGCUGGGCACUGCAGUGCAGGAGGCACAAAAUGUGGACACAGACUGGGUUCAUCAUAACACCUCCUGUGUAUUCUCCGUAGGGUGUGGGCUAGAGCAGUCUUAAUACACUACAUGCACUGAAUUCACUUUUCUAGCACUCAGAUAAAUUUGUUUUCCUUUCUGAAGCCUGUGCAUGUCUCUGUUCCCAAAGCUAUUUUGAGGUCUCAGGUGUAAUAUCCCUUUGGUUCUCCUGCAGUCAGAUCUGUGUUCUUACAGGUUCUUUGGAUGCCAAGCAACCUUUAGUCACAGAAAUCUUCAUAAAAUAAAAUGAAAUUGUUCCUAAAAUUCUUCCUUCUCCCUAGACAUUCAUGAUGGUUUCAAACUUGGAGACAGCAACCUGAUCCUGACAGACUGGAAUUUUCUUAUAUGAGGUGCUGCUGGGAGAUCUGAGGCAGAGAUUUAAUCAGGACUAGGGGCAGCUAUCAGAGCAGUCUGUCAUGCCUAGGAAACCUCAAAUUAUGUGCUAAUUAUCUACCUACCCUGCCAGGGAAUAAAUAAAUAAUGACUUCAGCUUACUGUGCUAAAGAUAAUUCCAGUUGUAACACGAUUGCAGGCUGUUUUUUUCCGUGGUGUGUUGGAGGUGCAGUAAGGAGCAAUAAGGUUUGCUCAGGAGUCACUGGGUGGGUUUGGAGUCUCGUGGGCUCUGGAGCAGCAGAAUCAAAGCUCAGGAUGGUCCUUUGGAGGGGUGACUGCUGAUCAUUGCCUGCCUCCUGAAAGGGCUGUGUAAUGUAAUGAUGUGUGGCCAGGUGUCUGCUCUUUCCACUCUACGUUCUUGCUCUGUAGUGUUGCUUUUAAUCACAGGAAAGGAUUUUAAAGAGGGAAACAAGCUAUGUCCUCACCUUGACCUUGAAAGCAAAAGAAAAUGCUGACAAGAAGAUCCUUUCUGAUUCAAGGUGUAAGAUGUAUUGUUCAAACCUGAACAUUUCUGAAGCUGUGAUCAAACUAGAUUAGGGUCACACAUGUGAGUGAAAAAUAAUGCCAGUCUUUCUUUUAAGCAUUUGAAAUUAAAGUUUACUCGCUUGCUUCUUUAAAAACUUGAAAAAUUAACAGUUUUUCCAUUCUAGGAGUUCACUGUUUGCUCGAGAACAAAGGCUGCUGGCAGUAGGGGAAGGUGUUUUCAUCUCUUUUCCUAGAUCUUCCUUUCCCUGUUUUAUAUUUGGAAUAAUUAGCUGAAUCUGGUGAAUUUUGUUAGCACCAAGAAUAACUCUACCUGGAUUUGAGGAGGAAGGAAAGCAGGGAAAGAACGAGAAGUAGGAGGAGAUAAAUGUCUGGCAUGGUCCGUGUGUCGCUGUGAUCUAGCACUGGUCAGCCCAAGGGAACAACAGAGCUUUAAUCCUGAGAGAAAAUGAGAGAAGGAGCAUGAAGAGCCAGAAAAAGAGGAAAACUUGGAGAAGGAAGUGAGGAUUCCACAUUCAUGAGAGCAGAAAAUUGGACCUUGCCUUCCCCUUCGGCAACAACUUGUGCUCCAGGCUCCCUAUUCAUCGGUUGGUUUGCUUUACCACUUCCCUCCCUAAAACACUGGCAGUCCCUGGACAGUUUUAAGCAAGCUUUAAGGAAAGACUAAGACCAGGACAUUCAUAUGAAUAUUUUUCUGAGUAAUCAAACUUUGUACUAUGGUGAGCUGUUCCCAAUUCUCCAAACCCACCCAUCAUUUUUGUCAUAUGCUACACAAACAGAGCUUGUUCUUUCCCAGUGCCUCAGCAGCAGCUCACAGGGCUAUAAGCAUGCAAAUUUCUCUAGCACUACAUGCAAAAGCAAUCCCUGGCUGUUGCAUUUGUAGUUCUAAACAUGAAAAAAGCAUUUACAGUUAAUAAUCAUAUUUUAUUGUGGGACUAGCAGUUACAAAGAGAGGCUGUUUCUUCAGUACUGCCAUUUCUGAGGCACCUAAUGAGAAUGUGCUGCCAUGGCAACUAAUGCCAUGAGUUUUUUGGGGGUUUUUGUAAGUAAUUAAACUUUCUAAGUCAAUUUGCCCUUACUUGCCAGGUAAGGAAAUGGAAUAUUGCUUAUUGUUUUCUGCUGGAGCACUGAGGUAACUCAGAGGGCCAGUGGAGUUGGAGCUACCUGAGGAGAUAUCAACUAUGCAAGGCCUUUGUUAAUAAAUUAUUCUUUUCUGAUAUAUGGGAGGUGUGGGAGGGCUCAAUGAAAACUUGUGAAUAAUUCUAUUCCAGCUGGAUUGGUAGAGUGUUGCUAAAUGGAGACAUGAGGUUAAAUACUUUGCUUUGUGCCCAGGUGAAUGUACAGGAGACAAGGAUGCUCAGAUGACAUUGAGACAAAUGUGUGUGAGCAUGAUAUGAUAAACAACAUCUUUGCCAGGCUGAUAGUGGAAUGAGACAGACAUCCCUGAUUCAAGCUCUGCUUGGUGCUGUCAGAUUUAUUUACCAGCCCUCAUAUGCUGUACAACAUGGAGCCUAUUUCCAAGGCACAGAAUGCCCUAAGAACAUAAUGGAGGGAGGGGACCAAGCCUGCUCAAUUCCUGCAAAACAGGGAUCUGUAAAAGUGCCCAAUUCCCUUUGAUGCACAAACAUUGCUGGCUGUUCAGGGCAUCCUUUGCUCAGAGCCAGCUUUGGGAAUACCCAGAACAUAUGGGCCAGCCACAGAGCAGGAUGGAAGAGUGAGGCCCAUUUCAUGCCUUCUUUGAUUCUGCUUGAAUUUCCUGAAGUCACUGUAUGCCUUUCCAAAUGCCUGUCAAACUCAUCUUAAAAACUGCAGCUGUCAGCUAUAAGAUCCUACAAAGUUUAUUUUAGCUACAUGCUGCUUGUGCCCUUUAGCUCAAAAGAGAAUGAGUCUCCAGCAGAAAACAGAGGAAAGAGCCCCUUAAGUGUUUUAAUUUUUAACUGUUAAAAGACUCUGCUUAAGCAUUAGAGACAGAAGCAACAACCCAAAAAGCUGCAGAUGCUUUAAAGCAUUUGGUUUUAUUGAUCAUACUAUUUGCUGUUCCAUUGAAAUUGUAUGAAAUAAGGUAUAAAGAGAUCUUUGUAGUAUAUUUGAUAUCUUGACUUCUGUAGAAGAUCCAAGCAAAUAAUGGGGGGUUUGUAUGUUUGGUGGCUAAAACUGGAAACAAAUUUUCUUUUAGCUUUGCCUGAAUGCCACACUUUAGCUUGUCAUACCAAGCUAAAAUUUGACACAUGUAUUCUUGGUUUAGAAGAAAUUUUGUUAUUGAUGUGAUUUCUUAACAUAACACUGAAUUUGGCUAUUAAAAUUUUUAAAACCUG
Molecule: long non-coding RNA, 4118 nt
Organism: Vidua chalybeata
Lineage: Eukaryota; Metazoa; Chordata; Aves; Passeriformes; Viduidae
Exons: 4
Source: RefSeq, a predicted model, not a curated record